AACGAACGCUGGCGGCAUGCCUAACACAUGCAAGUCGAACGAGACCUUCGGGUCUAGUGGCGCACGGGUGCGUAACGCGUGGGAAUCUGCCCUUGGGUUCGGAAUAACUCAGAGAAAUUUGAGCUAAUACCGGAUGAUGACGUAAGUCCAAAGAUUUAUCGCCCAAGGAUGAGCCCGCGUAAGAUUAGGUAGUUGGUGGGGUAAAAGCCUACCAAGCCGACGAUCUUUAGCUGGUCUGAGAGGAUGAUCAGCCACACUGGGACUGAGACACGGCCCAGACUCCUACGGGAGGCAGCAGUGGGGAAUAUUGGACAAUGGGCGAAAGCCUGAUCCAGCAAUGCCGCGUGAGUGAUGAAGGCCCUAGGGUUGUAAAGCUCUUUUACCCGGGAUGAUAAUGACAGUACCGGGAGAAUAAGCCCCGGCUAACUCCGUGCCAGCCGCCGCGGUAA
This 449-nucleotide ribosomal RNA is filed under the name uncultured bacterium. Its description in RNAcentral is "partial 16S ribosomal RNA". It matches the Rfam family "Bacterial small subunit ribosomal RNA", at positions 29 to 523 of the family's 1533-position model. The record is from RNAcentral.